UUCCCCCAUGGUUGGGUUUCCUGAUCCCUAGCAGUGCUUUGCUACGGGCAGCGACGAAUAAUUAACUAGCUAAUUAUCGUCUCUCAGCUCUGCAGGAAGAGUACAUCAUGCAUGUGUAGAAAAAAAAUACUUCAGGUACUAAUUCUAAACGAGUUCCCAUAAAGUCCAUCGUUACUGAUAGUGUACCAGGGAGUGAGGAUAUGCAGAUAUGAUAAUUACACUACAUAAUUUUUUUUCUUUUAGCUAGAUGCGUACACAUAGGCCGUUAUUCAGUGCAUUUGAAAUAAACUUGGGCAUAUAAUGGUUUAUCUGUUUAUUUGUGCAAGAUGCAACAAGAAGAGUAAUGAUCUUACUAAGGAGCAUGUUGAGAGUGCAGAUGACGCCAAUGUCUUCAGUUUAUCCACGUCGUCGUGAGGUGGAGAGCCAAAAUGCCUGAAGCUUGUGACAUGGGUGAACGAGAUGAAAGCAGUUGGGGAACGUUGCAUGGAAAACAAAAAAAGUUCUAUGCACACGCAAGAUCUAUCCAUGGAGGUGCAUAGCAAUGAGAGGGGAGAGUGUGUUCACGUACCCUCAUAGACCGUAAGCGGAAGCGUUUGUUAACGCAGUUGAUGUAGUCGAAUUUCUUCGCGCUCCAACCGAU
RNAcentral lists this long non-coding RNA (640 nucleotides) under Triticum aestivum (bread wheat). RNAcentral describes it as "long non-coding RNA (TAES_LNC016110)". Lineage: Eukaryota; Viridiplantae; Streptophyta; Magnoliopsida; Poales; Poaceae. The record is from RNAcentral.